CAGCCGCCGCGGUAAUGCGAAGGGGGCUAGCGUUGUUCGGAAUCACUGGGCGUAAAGGGUGCGUAGGCGGAUUCUUAAGUCAGGGGUGAAAUCCCGAGGCUCAACCUCGGAACUGCCUUUGAUACUGGGGAUCUUGAGUCCGGAAGAGGCGAGUGGAACUGCGAGUGUAGAGGUGAAAUUCGUAGAUAUUCGCAAGCACACCGGUGGCGAAGGCGGCUCACUGGUCCGGAACUGACGCUGAGGCACGACAGCGUGGGGAGCAAACAGGAUUAGAUACCCCCGUAGUCCCUGUCUCUUAUAC
This 301-nucleotide ribosomal RNA is filed under the name uncultured bacterium. RNAcentral describes it as "partial 16S ribosomal RNA". It matches the Rfam family "Bacterial small subunit ribosomal RNA", at positions 509 to 807 of the family's 1533-position model. The record is from RNAcentral.